RNAcentral lists this ribosomal RNA (461 nucleotides) under uncultured bacterium. RNAcentral describes it as "bacterial SSU rRNA". It matches the Rfam family "Bacterial small subunit ribosomal RNA", at positions 335 to 788 of the family's 1533-position model. The record is from RNAcentral.
ACUCCUACGGGAGGCAGCAGUGGGGAAUUUUGGACAAUGGGCGAAAGCCUGAUCCAGCCAUGCCGCGUGCAGGAUGAAGGCCUUCGGGUUGUAAACUGCUUUUGUACGGAACGAAAAGCCUCUUUCUAAUAAAGAGGGGUCAUGACGGUACCGUAAGAAUAAGCACCGGCUAACUACGUGCCAGCAGCCGCGGUAAUACGUAGGGUGCAAGCGUUAAUCGGAAUUACUGGGCGUAAAGCGUGCGCAGGCGGUUUUGUAAGACAGAGGUGAAAUCCCCGGGCUCAACCUGGGAACUGCCUUUGUGACUGCAAGGCUGGAGUGCGGCAGAGGGGGAUGGAAUUCCGCGUGUAGCAGUGAAAUGCGUAGAUAUGCGGAGGAACACCGAUGGCGAAGGCAAUCCCCUGGGCCUGCACUGACGCUCAUGCACGAAAGCGUGGGGAGCAAACAGGAUUAGAUACCCU